Molecule: long non-coding RNA, 286 nt
Filed under: Elaeis guineensis (African oil palm)
Lineage: Eukaryota; Viridiplantae; Streptophyta; Magnoliopsida; Arecales; Arecaceae
Description: long non-coding RNA (EGUI_LNC075121)
Source: RNAcentral
CAGGGUAGUCUUUGUGAGGAGUCACAGGACUGUUUGAGUUGAGCACGAUUCGGAUGAUCUAAUCAGGGUUGACAGUUUAACCCUGAGUCAUCCUAAACACAGAGGUCAAAAAGAUGAAUUAUACAGUAACCAUAUUCACGUAGGUUCUGAGUGUUACGAUUGUGACCAUUCGACCUAUCCGAUCGUCGGGUACCAUUGCUAGAUGGUCACUUCGAUUAGUACAGGAAUUGAUUCCUGUGCUACCGGCUUAGGUUCGAACCUGCGGGGUCACACACAUUAGAGGUUC